Taeniopygia guttata (zebra finch) is the source of this 742-nucleotide non-coding RNA. NCBI's taxonomy places the organism in Eukaryota, Metazoa, Chordata, Aves, Passeriformes, Estrildidae. The record is from RefSeq and is a predicted model, not a curated record.
GCUCCUCCGGCUUUUAAGGUUUAAAUGAUUCAGAGGCUCGGGCGGGGCCGGGCCGGGGGGAGCCGCGGGCGCAGUCACGCACAGGCCGGGCCGGGUCACGCGUGGGGACACGAGGGACACGCGGGGGCGGUGCCACACCUUUGUCGCCGCAGCGGUGACACGCUCAGCCCCGCACCCACCCCCUUCCCCCGCAGGUGCUGAGCGAGGAGGAGGAGGACGAUGAUGAUGAUGAUGAGGAGGAUGAUGAUGAUGUUCCCCAUCUCCCCGUCAGGAUCCCAAGGAGCUCCACGCUCCGCGGGCGCUCCGGCAGCAGCGGCUUCAGGCAGGAGCCGCUCCCCACCUCGGCACCCCCGGCCCCGACUGGGUGACCGGAGGCCACCUCAGGAGGAGGUGGCACCUUGGCCGGGUGUCCCACGGACGUUUUGGACACGCGUGUGACACGUGUGCGUGUGUGGGUGUGCACGUGUGGCUGUUUGGCACAGGAAAACCUCCGGGCCUCGGGAUUUUGGCCCAGUUUUGGUCCCUCCCUCGUCCCCCGGCCCUGUGGCCCGCUCGGGGCCUGCAGCGGGGACGUGUCCCCAACCCUUGGGAACGUGUCCCCAACCCUUGGGGGACGUGUCCCCAGCCCUUGGGAAUGUGUCCCCAACCCUUGGGAACGUGUCCCCAACCCUUGGGGACGUCACUUGCACUUUGGUCGCUUGCACUAGAGGGGGGUGGGGACACAAUAAAGUCCCUGAAGGGA